RNAcentral lists this ribosomal RNA (255 nucleotides) under uncultured bacterium. RNAcentral's name for it is "partial 16S ribosomal RNA". It matches the Rfam family "Bacterial small subunit ribosomal RNA", at positions 524 to 776 of the family's 1533-position model. The record is from RNAcentral.
UACGGGGGGGAGCAAGCGUUGUUCGGAUUUACUGGGCGUAAAGGGCGCGUAGGCGGUCAGCACAAGUCAGUUGUGAAAUCUCCGGGCUUAACUCGGAAAGGUCAACUGAUACUGUGCGACUAGAGUGCGGAAGGGGCAACUGGAAUUCUCGGUGUAGCGGUGAAAUGCGUAGAUAUCGAGAGGAACACCUGCGGCGAAGGCGGGUUGCUGGGCCGACACUGACGCUGAUGCGCGAAAGCCAGGGGAGCGAACGGG